UAUGCGAAAAACAAAGCUUAGCUAGCAGUAUCCUGAGUAGGGCGGGACACGAGGAAUCCUGUCUGAAUCCGGGUCGACCACGAUCCAACCCUAAAUACUAAUACCAGAUCGAUAGUGCACAAGUACCGUGAGGGAAAGGUGAAAAGAACUGAGGUGAUCAGAGUGAAAUAGAACCUGAAACCAUUUGCUUACAAUCAUUCAGAGCACUAUGUAGCAAUACAGUGUGAUGGACUGCCUUUUGCAUAAUGAGCCUGCGAGUUGUGGUGUCUGGCAAGGUUAAGCAAACGCGAAGCCGUAGCGAAAGCGAGUCUGAAUAGGGCGCUUAGUCAGAUGCUGCAGACCCGAAACGAAGUGAUCUAUCCAUGAGCAAGUUGAAGCUAGUGUAAGAACUAGUGGAGGACUGAACCCAUAGGCGUUGAAAAGCCCCGGGAUGACUUGUGGAUAGGGGUGAAAGGCCAAUCAAACUUCGUGAUAGCUGGUUCUCUCCGAAAUAUAUUUAGGUAUAGCGUUGUGUCGUAAUAUAAGGGGGUAGAGCACUGAAUGGGCUAGGGCAUACACCAAUGUACCAAACCCUAUCAAACUCCGAAUACCUUAUAUGUAAUCACAGCAGUCAGGCGGCGAGUGAUAAAAUCCGUCGUCAAGAGGGAAACAACCCAGACUACCAGCUAAGGUCCCUAAAUCUUACUUAAGUGGAAAACGAUGUGAAGUUACUUAAACAACCAGGAGGUUGGCUUAGAAGCAGCCAUCCUUUAAAGAAAGCGUAAUAGCUCACUGGUCUAGUGAUUUUGCGCGGAAAAUAUAACGGGGCUAAAGUAAGUACCGAAGCUGUAGACUUGCACACAACUUAGAUUAUUUAAGUUUAGAAUAUGAGAAACUAAGUUAUAUGUUUAGUUAUAUUUUUACUGAUUUUUAUAGAGUAAAGAUAGAAAUAAAACUUAGUAAAAUCAGUAAAAAUAUUCUUAGGCUAAAGUUAAGUAGUUUAAGUUGUGUGCAAGUGGUAGGAGAGCGUUCUAUUUGCGUCGAAGGUAUACCGGUAAGGAGUGCUGGAGCGAAUAGAAGUGAGCAUGCAGGCAUGAGUAGCGAUAAUUAAUGUGAGAAUCAUUAACGCCGUAAACCCAAGGUUUCCUACGCGAUGCUCGUCAUCGUAGGGUUAGUCGGGUCCUAAGUCGAGUCCGAAAGGGGUAGACGAUGGCAAAUUGGUUAAUAUUCCAAUACCAACAUUAGUGUGCGAUGGAAGGACGCUUAGGGCUAAGGGGGCUAGCGGAUGGAAGUGCUAGUCUAAGGUUGUAGGAGGUUAUACAGGCAAAUCCGUAUAACAAUACUCCGAGAACUGAAAGGCUUUUUGAAGUCUUCGGAUGGAUAGAAGAACCCCUGAUGCCGUCGAGCCAAGAAAAGUUUCUAAGUUUAGCUAAUGUUGCCCGUACCGUAAACCGACACAGGUGGGUGGGAUGAGUAUUCUAAGGCGCGUGGAAGAACUCUCUUUAAGGAACUCUGCAAAAUAGCACCGUAUCUUCGGUAUAAGGUGUGGUUAGCUUCGUACUAGGAUUUACUCCGAAAGCGAAGAAACUUACAACAAAGAGUCCCUCCCGACUGUUUACCAAAAACACAGCACUCUGCUAACUCGUAAGAGGAUGUAUAGGGUGUGACGCCUGCCCGGUGCUCGAAGGUUAAUUGAUGGGGUUAGCAUUAGCGAAGCUCUUGAUCGAAGCCCGAGUAAACGGCGGCCGUAACUAUAACGGUCCUAAGGUAGCGAAAUUCCUUGUCGGUUAAAUACCGACCUGCAUGAAUGGCGUAACGAGAUGGGAGCUGUCUCAAAGAGGGAUCCAGUGAAAUUGUAGUGGAGGUGAAAAUUCCUCCUACCCGCGGCAAGACGGAAAGACCCCGUGGACCUUUACUACAGCUUGACACUGCUACUUGGAUAAGAAUGUGCAGGAUAGGUGGGAGGCUUUGAGUAUAUGACGCCAGUUGUAUAUGAGCCAUUGUUGAGAUACCACUCUUUCUUAUUUGGGUAGCUAACCAGCUUGAGUUAUCCUCAAGUGGGACAAUGUCUGGUGGGUAGUUUGACUGGGGCGGUCGCCUCCCAAAUAAUAACGGAGGCUUACAAAGGUUGGCUCAGAACGGUUGGAAAUCGUUCGUAGAGUAUAAAGGUAUAAGCCAGCUUAACUGCAAGACAUACAAGUCAAGCAGAGACGAAAGUCGGUCUUAGUGAUCCGGUGGUUCUGUGUGGAAGGGCCAUCGCUCAAAGGAUAAAAGGUACCCCGGGGAUAACAGGCUGAUCUCCCCCAAGAGCUCACAUCGACGGGGAGGUUUGGCACCUCGAUGUCGGCUCAUCGCAUCCUGGGGCUGGAGCAGGUCCCAAGGGUAUGGCUGUUCGCCAUUUAAAGCGGUACGCGAGCUGGGUUCAGAACGUCGUGAGACAGUUCGGUCCCUAUCUGCCGUGGGCGUAAGAAGAUUGAAGAGAUUUGACCCUAGUACGAGAGGACCGGGUUGAACAAACCACUGGUGUAGCUGUUGUUCUGCCAAGAGCAUCGCAGCGUAGCUAAGUUUGGAAAGGAUAAACGCUGAAAGCAUCUAAGCGUGAAGCCAACUCUAAGAUGAAUCUUCUCUAAGCUCUCUAGAAGACUACUAGUUUGAUAGGCUGGGUGUGUAAUGGAUGAAAGUCCUUUAGCUGACCAGUACUAAUAGAGCGUUUGGCUUAUCUUUAAUAAAGCAU
RNAcentral lists this ribosomal RNA (2713 nucleotides) under Campylobacter jejuni. RNAcentral describes it as "partial 23S ribosomal RNA". It matches the Rfam family "Bacterial large subunit ribosomal RNA", at positions 376 to 2925 of the family's 2925-position model. The record is from RNAcentral. Lineage: Bacteria; Pseudomonadati; Campylobacterota; Epsilonproteobacteria; Campylobacterales; Campylobacteraceae.